Molecule: transfer RNA, 86 nt
Rfam family: tRNA
About the family: Transfer RNA (tRNA) molecules are approximately 80 nucleotides in length.
GCGGCCGUGGCGGAAUGGCAGACGCGCUAGGUUGAGGGCCUAGUGGGGGCAACCCCGUGGAGGUUCGACUCCUCUCGGCCGCACCA